AGUUGACCCAACCUCUGCUCCAGGCAAGAC
Molecule: non-coding RNA, 30 nt
Filed under: Cricetulus griseus (Chinese hamster)
Lineage: Eukaryota; Metazoa; Chordata; Mammalia; Rodentia; Cricetidae
Source: RNAcentral